RNAcentral lists this ribosomal RNA (648 nucleotides) under Euphorbia vizcainensis. Its description in RNAcentral is "eukaryotic LSU rRNA". The stretch from base 269 to 424 matches the Rfam family "5.8S ribosomal RNA". The record is from RNAcentral. Lineage: Eukaryota; Viridiplantae; Streptophyta; Magnoliopsida; Malpighiales; Euphorbiaceae.
UCGAAACCUGCCCAGCAGAACGACCCGUGAACGUGUUCAUAAAACAGGGGGUCCAAUAGCGGGCUUUUGCCAGCUUUGGGCCUUCACAAGGCCUUGAUCGGGUGAUUCGGGAGCGCGGGCCUAGCCCCCCCGAUUUCCCUCGUUCUUGGUUGCUAACAAACCCCCGGCGCGGAAAGCGCCAAGGAAUUUGAAAUAAAAUUACCAAUCGCCCUCAUUGCCCCGGAAACGGUGCGCAUAAGGGAUGUGAUUGUGAUUUGAGAAUCUAAACGACUCUCGGCAACGGAUAUCUCGGCUCUCGCAUCGAUGAAGAACGCAGCGAAAUGCGAUACUUGGUGUGAAUUGCAGGAUCCCGUGAACCAUCGAGUUUUUGAACGCAAGUUGCGCCCGAAGCCUUUUGGCCGAGGGCACGUCUGCCUGGGUGUCACUCAAACGUCGCCCCAACCCUUCCUCUUUGAAGGGGUUGUAAUUUGGGCGGAAUAUGGCCUCCCGUUUGCUCUACGCGUGCGGUUGGCCCAAAUGUCCGGUCCUCGGCAUCGUGGCCACGGCAAUCGGUGGUUGUAUGACCCUCGCUUAAUGCUGUGAGUGAUAUGGUGUUGUGUGACCGACGAGGCCCCAAAGCGUGCCGUAAGAUGCGCUCGCAAUGCGACC